Molecule: ribosomal RNA, 679 nt
Filed under: uncultured Pseudomonas sp.
Lineage: Bacteria; Pseudomonadati; Pseudomonadota; Gammaproteobacteria; Pseudomonadales; Pseudomonadaceae
Description: bacterial SSU rRNA
Rfam family: Bacterial small subunit ribosomal RNA
Source: RNAcentral
AGAGUUUGAUCCUGGCUCAGAUUGAACGCUGGCGGCAGGCCUAACACAUGCAAGUCGAGCGGUAGAGAGAAGCUUGCUUCUCUUGAGAGCGGCGGACGGGUGAGUAAUGCCUAGGAAUCUGCCUGGUAGUGGGGGAUAACGUUCGGAAACGGACGCUAAUACCGCAUACGUCCUACGGGAGAAAGCAGGGGACCUUCGGGCCUUGCGCUAUCAGAUGAGCCUAGGUCGGAUUAGCUAGUUGGUGAGGUAAUGGCUCACCAAGGCGACGAUCCGUAACUGGUCUGAGAGGAUGAUCAGUCACACUGGAACUGAGACACGGCCCAGACUCCUACGGGAGGCAGCAGUGGGGAAUAUUGGACAAUGGGCGAAAGCCUGAUCCAGCCAUGCCGCGUGUGUGAAGAAGGUCUUCGGAUUGUAAAGCACUUUAAGUUGGGAGGAAGGGCAGUUGCCUAAUACGUAACUGUUUUGACGUUACCGACAGAAUAAGCACCGGCUAACUCUGUGCCAGCAGCCGCGGUAAUACAGAGGGUGCAAGCGUUAAUCGGAAUUACUGGGCGUAAAGCGCGCGUAGGUGGUUUGUUAAGUUGGAUGUGAAAUCCCCGGGCUCAACCUGGGAACUGCAUUCAAAACUGACUGACUAGAGUAUGGUAGAGGGUGGUGGAAUUUCCUGUGUAGCGGU